Molecule: ribosomal RNA, 403 nt
Filed under: uncultured bacterium
Lineage: Bacteria
Description: bacterial SSU rRNA
Rfam family: Bacterial small subunit ribosomal RNA
Source: RNAcentral
CAAGGAAUAUUGGGCAAUGGACGAAAGCCUGACCCAGCGACACCGCGUGGGGGGAGAAGGUUCUCGGAUCGUAAACCCCUUUUCUCAGGGAAGAUAGUGACGGUACCUGAGGAAUAAGUCUCGGCCAACUACGUGCCAGCAGCCGCGGUAAUACGUAGGAGGCGAACGUUAUCCGGAUUUACUGGGCGUAAAGGGAGCGUAGGCGGUUUCUUAAGUCGGGUGUGAAAUCUCUUGACUCAAUCAGGAGGGGUCAUCCGAUACUGGGUUACUCGAGGGCGGCAGAAGGAAACGGAAUUCCGAGUGUAGCGGUGAAAUGCGUUGAUAUUCGGAAGAACACCAGUGGCGAAGGCGGUUUCCUAGGCUGUUCCUGACGCUGAGGCUCGAAAGCGUGGGGAGCGAAGCG